This 319-nucleotide ribosomal RNA is filed under the name uncultured eukaryote. RNAcentral's name for it is "partial 18S ribosomal RNA". It matches the Rfam family "Eukaryotic small subunit ribosomal RNA", at positions 1470 to 1796 of the family's 1831-position model. The record is from RNAcentral.
CCCUUAGAUGUUCUGGGCCGCACGCGCGCUACAAUGGUCUUCGCAAACGGAUGCAUUCUCGAAGGAGAAUGCCAAUCUUGGAAUCUAUGCCUUGGUCGGGACAGUUGCUUGCAAUUUUUCGACUCGAACCAGGAAUUCCUUGUAAUCGUGAUUCAUCACAUCACGAUGAAUACGUUCCUGCCCUUUGUACACACCGCCCGUCGCUCCUACCGAUCGAAGAGUUAGGUGAAUUGUUUUGAUCGAUAAGAUUUGACUAUGGUCAACUCUCGUUGUGAAAUUCUGUGAAUCUGACUGUUUAGAGGAAGGAAAAGUCGUAACA